UGGCUUUGGCUCAGUGGCAGAGAGCAUCUGAUUUGCAUGCAGGAGUUCCCGGGUUCAAUCCCUGGCAUCUCAA
RNAcentral lists this transfer RNA (73 nucleotides) under Sphaerodactylus townsendi. RNAcentral describes it as "tRNA-Ala". The stretch from base 7 to 65 matches the Rfam family "tRNA", at positions 8 to 63 of the family's 71-position model. From Rfam's summary of the family: Transfer RNA (tRNA) molecules are approximately 80 nucleotides in length. Their secondary structure includes four short double-helical elements and three loops (D, anti-codon, and T loops). The record is from RNAcentral. Lineage: Eukaryota; Metazoa; Chordata; Lepidosauria; Squamata; Sphaerodactylidae.